GUGUGCUUGGUGAUAAUGCGCAACGCUUAAAAACACAUAAAAAGAAAUUUGAUGCAACAUGAGCAGUUCUAAAUUUAAAGCCGUAAUCAACACUUUUCAUUUCAUUUCCAUUUUAUUUGUGACAUCUGUAAAAUCUGGGCCAUUUUUUGCCCCAUGGCCCCAUUAAUUUCUGAGCUGUGUCCAGGGGAAGGUUAAUCCUUGCCCAGCAUUACACAUGCUCCGCCUAUGACUAUGUAACAGACAAUUAGGAGGAGAGAGGGAAAAAAGUAGCAUACUGUACAUAGUUACAGAUGUUAAAGACAAAGUGAUAAUAUUAAACAACACAGAACAAUUAGCUUCUACAACAGCAAAAAUGUAAAAUCUAUAACAAGGGUGUGAUGGACCACUGAUUUCCCCACUGUGAUUGGUAAGCAAAAUAAAUAUAUAAUUUUCAACAAUAUAAAUAUAUUACUAUAAUAAUAUAUGCUGCUGGAAAGGGGGAUUCAAUGAAUAGUUCAUCCAAUAGUUCAUAGCUGCCUAAAAUGUAGAUUUAAGGUUUGAGGACAGAUGACUCGUAUUUUACCCAGAAACAACAGUUUCAAGUUAAAAUGGCUUACGAUAUGAUUGGUUGAAUGCUAAGCUCGCAUCUGAUUGGCUAAAGAGUAAGACAGACCCACGUGGGAAGAGAGCUCUGCCAGGAAAGUCUCAAAAACACACACACACAAAUCCGAGUGGAUUCGUAGUAAAUGACGAUUUGUACAUUCAGACACUCGUACAUUUUAAACAUUCAAAGGUUUUUGUGCACAGUUGUAUAUCUACGAAUUGUGUUUUGGCAUUUGUGAAAUGUAUUUUAUGAAUAUAUAAUUUUAUUUGCGCAUGUGAAUUGCUUUUUGUGAAUAUAUAUUUUUUUUUCACGCACGUGAAUUUUUUUUGUGUGUACGUGAAUUAGGUUUCAUGCAUGUGAAAUUGUCUACGAAUCAUGUUUUUUGCGUGAAUUAUAUUUGAGAUUAAUCUGCUUCCAUAGUCUUCCAGCUUGGUGAAGCUGCUGUUCACCUAGCCAGCUAGUUGGUUUCCCAGUCUGACCAGACUAAUGGUCCUCUAAAACCAGCAAAGCAGACCAUCAAAACCAGCUUAGUUUGUAAUAGGUUUAAAGCAGCAGGGUCAUAAACAAUAUAAUUUUAAAGAUACUCCAUGGGUGUUUUCUCAUAUAGUUUUUUCUUACAGCCAUUCCACAGAACAGCAGUGAAAUAGUGGUUGUGAGCUGUGAGCAGAGGCCUAGGUGGGAGCACAGUACAUAUGGCAAUGCCAUCUGUUCAAUGAAUGGCAACAGCAUACUUGCAGAGAAAUUACUUUGCAGGAAAAUCUAUGCAUUUGAUAAGUGAAGUGACGAGCUGUCUGAACUACUUCAACAAAGUUUGAGAUCCACUACAGAAUGUCAAGUGAACAUCAUUGACGCAGCGCUGCCCACUGGCAUUAGCCUUAGGGGUCUUACAGCACUUUCAGAAUUACAGACGAUAUAAGAAAAUGGGAAAAGGCUGAUGGGGUAUUAAAGCUCAUUUUCCCUCACUAUCCAAUGGUUCAUUUAGAUUUUAAUGAGGAGUGUAAACAUUGUUCAUAAUCACUUCCACUUCUCAAAUGCAACCAUAUCUGGAAACAAUAAUGCAGCAAACCAACCAAUAUGACAAAGGCAUCAUUAAUACAUGCCACCAACUAACAAUCUAUACUGUUAUGUCAUUUUCCAACCUGGACUGUCAGAAUUCUUAGUUAUUCAGAGCAAAUCAUACUUACAAUUUGCUUUACUAUCAGUCAGAAGUUUCGAAAAAUUUUAUAUAUACUGUAUGUAUAUAUAUAUAUAUAUAUAUUAUGUUAUAUAUAUAUGAAUUCUUAAAUGCUCACUGACGCGGCAUUUGUUUGUUUACAAAUGCAGUAAAACAGCACUAUUGUGAACUAUUAUUACAAUUUAAAAUAACUGUUUUCUAGUUUACUGCAUUUUAAAAUAAGUUAUUACUGUGAUGGACAACCACAAGUUUCAGCAUCCAUUAUUCUGGUCUUCAGUGUCACAUGAUCCUUGAGAUUUCAUUCUAAUAUGCUGAUUGUGUUAUAUUUUUGUUACACUUCAACCUAUCAUACGUUACUAUACAUUUUUUCCCCAAAGAAAUGAAUACUUUUAUUAAAGGGGUGUUGUUAUAAUGUAAAAUAGGUGGAAAGUAAUGUGUUUUUCGAACAACCUAGUGUGAGAGCCUGUUCUAGUACACCCCCAAAACAAAAUCAAUACAUUGUAAAAGAGCACAAUAGGACCCCUUUAAGCAAAGAUGCAUUAAAUUGUUGCCAAACGUUUAUUUUUCAAAUAAAUGAGUAAAGUAAUAAGAACCAUUAUUGAUAAUUGGACACCAGUAACAAUUGACAAUGACUGAGCACCAGAUCAGCAUAUUAGAAUGAUUUCUGAAGGAUCAUGUGACACUGAUGUGACUUUUGCAUCUUUUGUACACACUACACAAAAUAGUUAACAUAACAAGACUCAUUUUUACAGACAAACACUGUGAACUACUUUCAAGGCAAGUUUCAUAACAUGAUCAAGAUCACAACACAGGAUGAUACAGUGCUUUGCAAAGGUAUUCAGACCCUUAAAUAGUUCUCUCAUUAUACUAUAGGUACAAAUCCAAUUUUAAAGAAAAUUUGUUUUACAUUUUUAAUAAAAAUAAAAACGGCAUAUUCAGUCUACACAUUUGAGUAUAUUACAAAGCUAACAUUGAAGCAAUGGCAGCUGCAAACCUGGCUCUAUAAAUGUCUUUUGUGGUAUGUACCAGCUUUUCACAACUGUAUUAGGGUGUAAUUGUGUCCCAUUUUCCCCAGGCAGAUUGAUAUUUCAGGUUAGUCAGUGACUCUUGCGCACCAAUGAUUUUCAAAUUGCGCCAGAGAUUCAUAAUUGGACUGAGAUCACGGCUUUGAGGGUGCUACUGUAGGAAAUUCACCUUGUAGACCACUCCAUUGUUAAACCGGGCAUGUGCAUAGGAUCAUUUUAAAGCUAAAAGAUAUUCUAGAAUGCUCCAUUAUUCCUUCUUUUUUUAACAAGAUACCAAGUCCUUGCUUUUGAAAAGCAGUCCCACAGCAGGAUGCUAUCAUGACUUUACUUUACUGUAAGUGUGAGGGGUUUAUUUUAGAUAUGGGUGUUAGAUUUGGUUUUAAAUCACCAAAAAUCUUUUCCCAUAUUCCAUCUAGGUCAUGAUUAUGUUUUUUUCUUUUUCUUCCAUGUAUAUUUUUGGACAAUUUUAUCAUAAUAUUAUAACUAAAUCUUUGUGUUUAUCUUUUUAAAUUGUCACAACAUUUUGUUAUUUUUAAUUUAACAUUGAUUUAGAUCAUUAAUUCAAAUCAAAGCGUACUGCACUUUUCAUUGCAGGUUGUAACUUGGCACCACUUUUAUUUUAUUUAAAAAUUCAAGGCAACUGAACUUUAAAGUUUUACAUUUUAAUGGAAUUUUAUUUUAUUUUUAUUAUUGUAUUUUUAUUUUUUGGUUUGAGUCUAAUUUAAAAAUCUAAUUUAUAAACCUAAUUUAUAUUGAAAGAGCAAAAUCUAGGGAUCCGAAUAGCAUAAAAAAUUGUUGGUGGGCUUUUGUGACCUAGGCCAGUUUGCAACCAAAUAGCAACAUGCUAAAAAUCACUUAGCAACCUAGUUUUGCACCACUGUAAAAAUCUAAUGCUAAAGUAAUAGCUUGUGCUACUGUGAUAUGUAUAACCUUCUCAUCUAUGCAUUUCUUCUCACUUAAUUGUAAAGGGCUUUACAAUUUUUUUUUCUUUAUUGUCCAUUGGAAUAAAAGAAUGAUAAUGGAUCUGAAUGAUGAUCCCUUUUUAUUUUUAGUAUUUAAUUUUUUCCCCUAUAAAAUGUGGAAGUAAUUUCAAUGAGUCACAGUUAGAGGGCAAUUGUAAGGCAACUGUGUCCUUGUUAGUGGGAUUGUUACUUUUGGAAAGCACUGUAUAUUUGACUCUUAGUAGAUUGCACUAACAAUGGAGGGAAACACAGCAAAUCAUCGCACAUCUGAUUGCAGUGAAUGUCUAAAACCUUAAAGAAAGAAAGAAAAAGUCAUGCAGCAAAAAUACAAUAACUAGAAUGAAAGUUAAAAGCAACUAAAAAAAGACACUUUACACUGCAAAGAAAAGUGAUAAAAUGUAUUCCUCAAGCUCGCACACUUUUAAAAGGCUCAAGAAAAGCACUUACAGUACAACAUUUGGAAAAGAAACAACCUAACAGAACAAGCUCAAUGCAGUGUUUUUCACAAACAAAAAGCAAAUGAAAUGUGCUGAAUUUUGACUCAUUCGGGUAUCUGUGUCAACAUUCACAUGCUUGUGCUGAAGCGCUAAAGCUGCUGUAGAUCAGUGGAAAGGCAUCAUGAGACUGAGAUAACGUAGCUCUGAUAUGCACAACAUGGCCAUAAGCAUGUGGACACUCACUUCCAAUUAACAAGAGUUGCUAUUUCAGACACACCCAUUACUGAGAAGUUAAUAAAAUCAAUAAUACAACCAUGCCAUCCCCUAAAAUGAACAUUUCUAAAAGAAUGGGGCCCUUUUCUGUUCCAGUCACUGUGUGCAAAGAAAGGUUGAUGGAAAAACUUGAGUGGCCUUCACAAAGUGUGACACAAAUCCCACUGAACACCUCUGGAAUUAAUUUGGAAAGCUGAGUGAGCCAGACCUCAUCACCCACCAUCAGCACCCAACCUCACAGAUGCUCCUGUGUCUGAAGAGAAGCAAAUCCCUGCAUCUAUAUUCCAACAUCUGGUGGAAAGCCUUCCAAGAGUGGAAGCUGUUAUAGCAACAAAGGAAGAACCACCUCAGUAUGAAUGCCAAUGGCUUUAAAAAUGCACAUAAGGGUGUGAUUUUCAAGUGUACCGCAAAAUAAUUUUCUAAAUCUGUAUUUUUGUAUUGUUUUCUAUUAAAAAUAUCUGUACACCCACGAGUACAUCCAAAAGUCUGGGAUUGGUAAGAUUUUUUUAAAAAUGUUUUUGAAAAAAGUAUCUUAUAUUAUUACAAUUUAAAAUAACUGUUUUUUUUAAAUAUUUUAAAAUGCAUUUUAUUCC
Molecule: long non-coding RNA, 5047 nt
Organism: Cyprinus carpio carpio
Lineage: Eukaryota; Metazoa; Chordata; Actinopteri; Cypriniformes; Cyprinidae
Source: Ensembl